CCUACGGGAUGCAGCAGUGAGGAAUAUUGGUCAAUGGACGAGAGUCUGAACCAGCCAAGUAGCGUGAAGGAUGACUGCCCUAUGGGUUGUAAACUUCUUUUAUAUGGGAAUAAAAUGUUCCACGUGUGGGAUUUUGUAUGUACCAUAUGAAUAAGGAUCGGCUAACUCCGUGCCAGCAGCCGCGGUAAUACGGAGGAUCCGAGCGUUAUCAGGAUUUAUUGGGUUUAAAGGGAGCGUAGGUGGAUUGUUAAGUAAGUUGUGAAAGUUUGCGGCUCAACCGUAAAAUUGCAGUUGAAACUGGCAGUCUUGAGUACAGUAGAGGUGGGCAGAAUUCGUGGUGUAGCGGUGAAAUGCUUAGAUAUCACGAAGAACUCCGAUUGCGAAGGCAGUUCACUGGACUGCAACUGACACUGAGGCUCGAAAGUGUGGGUAUCAAACAGGAUUAGAUACCCGGGUAGUC
Molecule: ribosomal RNA, 460 nt
Filed under: uncultured bacterium
Lineage: Bacteria
Description: partial 16S ribosomal RNA
Rfam family: Bacterial small subunit ribosomal RNA
Source: RNAcentral